This 403-nucleotide ribosomal RNA is filed under the name Fusobacteriota bacterium. RNAcentral's name for it is "Fusobacteria bacterium partial 16S ribosomal RNA". It matches the Rfam family "Bacterial small subunit ribosomal RNA", at positions 355 to 776 of the family's 1533-position model. Lineage: Bacteria; Fusobacteriati; Fusobacteriota. The record is from RNAcentral.
UGGGGAAUCUUGCACAAUGGGGGAAACCCUGAUGCAGCGACGCCGCGUGAGCGAUGAAGGUUUUCGAAUCGUAAAGCUCUGUCCUAUGGGAAGAUAAUGACGGUACCAUGGGAGGAAGCCCCGGCUAACUACGUGCCAGCAGCCGCGGUAAUACGUAGGGGGCGAGCGUUGUCCGGAAUUACUGGGCGUAAAGGGUUCGCAGGCGGCAUGGCAAGUCCGAUGUAAAAUGUGAAGGCUCAACCUACGUAAGCAUCGAAAACUGUCAAGCUUGAGUGAAGGAGAGGCAAGUGGAAUUCCUAGUGUAGCGGUGGAAUGCGUAGAUAUUAGGAGGAAUACCGGUGGCGAAGGCGACUUGCUGGACUUCAACUGACGCUGAGGAACGAAAGCGUGGGUAGCAAACAGG